This 478-nucleotide ribosomal RNA is filed under the name uncultured bacterium. Its description in RNAcentral is "partial 16S ribosomal RNA". It matches the Rfam family "Bacterial small subunit ribosomal RNA", at positions 28 to 523 of the family's 1533-position model. The record is from RNAcentral.
GACGAACGCUGGCGGCGUGCUUAACACAUGCAAGUCGAACGGUAAGGCCCUUCGGGGUACACGAGUGGCGAACGGGUGAGUAACACGUGGGUGAUCUGCCCUGCACUUCGGGAUAAGCCUGGGAAACUGGGUCUAAUACCGGAUAGGACCACUGCCUGCAUGGGUGGUGGUGGAAAGCUUUUGCGGUGUGGGAUGGGCCCGCGGCCUAUCAGCUUGGUGGUGGGGUGAUGGCCUACCAAGGCGACGACGGGUAGCCGGCCUGAGAGGGUGACCGGCCCCACUGGGACUGAGAUACGGCCCAGACUCCUACGGGAGGCAGCAGUGGGGAAUAUUGCACAAUGGGCGCAAGCCUGAUGCAGCGACGCCGCGUGAGGGAUGACGGCCUUCGGGUUGUAAACCUCUUUCAGCACCGACGAAGCGCAAGUGACGGUAGGUGCAGAAGAAGGACCGGCCAACUACGCGCCAGCCGCCGCCGUAA